ACGUAGGACACAAGCGUUAUCCGGAAUUACUGGGCGUAAAGGGCGUGCAGGCGGUUGGGUAAGUUAGGCGUGAAAGACUUCGGCUAAACCGGGGGAGGUCGUCUGAUACUGCUCAACUUGAGUAUGGUAGAGGCGUGUAGAAUUCCAGGUGUAGCGGUGAAAUGCGUAGAGAUCUGGAGGAAUACCGGUGGCGAAGGCGGCCCCCUGGACAAAGACUGACGCUCAGGUGCGAAAGCGAGGGGAGCAAACAGGA
RNAcentral lists this ribosomal RNA (253 nucleotides) under uncultured prokaryote. RNAcentral describes it as "partial 16S ribosomal RNA". It matches the Rfam family "Bacterial small subunit ribosomal RNA", at positions 525 to 777 of the family's 1533-position model. The record is from RNAcentral.